This 253-nucleotide ribosomal RNA is filed under the name uncultured bacterium. RNAcentral's name for it is "partial 16S ribosomal RNA". It matches the Rfam family "Bacterial small subunit ribosomal RNA", at positions 524 to 776 of the family's 1533-position model. The record is from RNAcentral.
GACAGAGGCCUCGAGCGUUAGGCGGAAUCACUGGGCUUAAAGCGUGUGUGGGCGGGCCCGUAAGUGUCUUGUGAAAUCCCACGGCUCAACCGUGGAACUGCUGGGCAUACUGCGGGUCUUGGGCCAACUAGGGGCAGCCGGAGCAAGCGGUGGAGCGGUGAAAUGCGUAGAUAUCGCUUGGAACGCCGAAGGUGAAAACAGGCUGCUGGGGUUGCGCCGACGCUGAGACACGAAAGCCAGGGGAGCAAACGGG